GCACAAGCGGUGGAGCAUGUGGUUUAAUUCGACGCAACGCGCAGAACCUUACCAGCCCUUGACAUCCCGGUCGCGGACUCCAGAGACGGAGUUCUUCAGUUCGGCUGGACCGGAGACAGGUGCUGCAUGGCUGUCGUCAGCUCGUGUCGUGAGAUGUUGGGUUAAGUCCCGCAACGAGCGCAACCCCCGUCCUUAGUUGCUACCAUUUAGUUGAGCACUCUAAGGAGACUGCCGGUGAUAAGCCGCGAGGAAGGUGGGGAUGACGUCAAGUCCUCAUGGCCCUUACGGGCUGGGCUACACACGUGCUACAAUGGCGGUGACAAUGGGACGCUAAGGGGCAACCCUUCGCAAAUCUCAAAAAGCCGUCUCAGUUCGGAUUGGGCUCUGCAACUCGAGCCCAUGAAAUUGGAAUCGCUAGUAAUCGUGGAUCAGCAUGCCACGGUGAAUACGUUCCCGGGC
RNAcentral lists this ribosomal RNA (459 nucleotides) under uncultured bacterium. Its description in RNAcentral is "bacterial SSU rRNA". It matches the Rfam family "Bacterial small subunit ribosomal RNA", at positions 923 to 1379 of the family's 1533-position model. The record is from RNAcentral.